RNAcentral lists this transfer RNA (66 nucleotides) under Eysarcoris aeneus. Its description in RNAcentral is "tRNA-Arg". The record is from RNAcentral. Lineage: Eukaryota; Metazoa; Arthropoda; Insecta; Hemiptera; Pentatomidae.
GAUAAUGAAGUAAUAAUUACAAUUAGUUUCGACCUAAUAUUAGGAUAAUUUUAUUAUCCCUUGUCU